Molecule: long non-coding RNA, 228 nt
Filed under: Mytilus galloprovincialis (Mediterranean mussel)
Lineage: Eukaryota; Metazoa; Mollusca; Bivalvia; Mytilida; Mytilidae
Source: RNAcentral
AUUAUGGGUGAUUAUUCAGACUAGUGCACACAUUUUACAGUUCAAACAAGGCAAUGCCGAGCGUGGCAUCCCCUCGUAUGUAACAUAUUGGGGACAAAUAUGGACACUAUAUUUGUAUAUGACACAUGCAGAAAAUGGUAAAUUGAAUAUGCAUAUUUGAUACAUAAACUAUUUUUUUUUAGAAAUCAACCAAAACAUUCAGUAACUGGAAAUACCUUUAAUAUUGUC